Erigeron canadensis is the source of this 387-nucleotide long non-coding RNA. RefSeq lists it as uncharacterized. Lineage: Eukaryota; Viridiplantae; Streptophyta; Magnoliopsida; Asterales; Asteraceae. The record is from RefSeq and is a predicted model, not a curated record. The transcript has 2 exons.
GUGCAUAAUCGUUUUAGCUUUAUUUUCCAAGUUGCGGAGGAGGUAGUUCCGGAAGAGGGAACUAGGAUUGUUGAUUUGAAAGUGUUGAUUUAGAGCUUGAAGUGGUUGAAUUAAAGAUUUGCAAGAUUUGAAGGUAUUUAGGUCAUUCAUGGAUGAAUGACAAGCUUUUGGGUUUAGAGGCUUAGUUAUCCCUCUCCUUUUGGCUCUUGGUACAUUUUGGGUUGAUGGUCAUAUUUUGUUAUAUUAUGUAAAAGAUCAGGUGUAAAGCUUUUUAGAAAAGAUGUAAAGUUGCACUUUGGGCGAAAAUUGUGUCAAAAUGGGUAAGAUGACCCGUUUACUUGUAGAAACUUGGUUUGUAUAAAUGGAUGGUAUGGAGACUUUUGGAAA